RNAcentral lists this long non-coding RNA (950 nucleotides) under Anas platyrhynchos platyrhynchos (common mallard). RNAcentral describes it as "lncRNA (ENSAPLG00000027152.1)". Lineage: Eukaryota; Metazoa; Chordata; Aves; Anseriformes; Anatidae. The record is from RNAcentral.
GUUUGGGUUCAAGUGCUUCAAUCUAUUCCUGUCUGGUGAAAAGUGAGAGGACUGUUUAUGGUGAUAACCCUGAAGAAUGUGUGCAGUUUUUACAGUUUAACGUUCCCAUAGGAAAAUUCCUUGUUCACCUGGAAUUGUUUUCCAUGCCAAGAAGUGCUUUAACAGGGCAUGUUGCCACUCUAAAUCUUCAUCACUGUACUGGUAGCAGAAACUAAUUAAUUAAUUUGGAUAAUUAAAGUGUUGAAAGUGUUGGUGGUGAAUGACAACUCAGCAGCAAUCAGUUGUCCUUCCAAGGAGCACCAGCACCAGAGGACAACCCUUCCCUACCUGUCUGAUGGAUGGUAGGCCAAUUCCUUAAGUGCCUUAUCAGGUGUGGUGAGUAUAUAAAAUUUAAUCACAGUUGUUAUAUGUAUCCCAGCCAAUAAAUCAUUGUUUUAUUCUUUAAAUUGUGUAUAAUCUGCUGGCAGUGAGUUGUGUGCCUGUCCCACCACCCAAAUAAAGAUAUGAAGGGUGUGACUCCGCUGCCAAACAGAGGUGUGAGUCCCCAUAAAAAUUCAGAAAACUCCAUAAAUAGAACUCCCAGCAUGAAGGUGCUGCUGACAGAACAGGAGUUGGAAUGACAGCCAUGAAAAGUGCACUGUGGAUACCCCAGAGGCUUCACAGAAAACUGAAACCGUAUGUUUGCUGCUGAGGUGACUGGGAAAAGUGAUUGGCCUCAAGCUGCAUGGACGUGUUUGAUAAACUGAUUAAACAGUGAGGAUUUAGGGACAUGGGAGAGACUUCUAAGUAAGCUAAAUGCUCUGAAAUUGAAAGAUGCUUGCAUCUCUGCCCAGGGCGCUGCUGUCAUAUAGUCAUGAAGGUUUGCAGCUGCCUUAACAGGUGCUGAAUAUUGUUCCCCAAGAUAGAUUAAUUUGUGUCCUUGGAAAUAAAACCUUAAGAAGACGUAGACA